This 253-nucleotide ribosomal RNA is filed under the name uncultured bacterium. RNAcentral describes it as "partial 16S ribosomal RNA". It matches the Rfam family "Bacterial small subunit ribosomal RNA", at positions 524 to 776 of the family's 1533-position model. The record is from RNAcentral.
UACGGGGGGGGCAAGCGUUGUCCGGAUUUAUUGGGCGUAAAGAGCGUGUAGGCGGCCUGAAAGGUCAGCUGUGAAAACUCGAGGCUCAACCUCGAGACGUCGGUUGAAACCAUCUGGCUAGAGUCCGGAAGAGGAGUGUGGAAUUCCCGGUGUAGCGGUGAAAUGCGCAGAUAUCGGGAAGAACACCCGUGGCGAAGGCGGCACUCUGGGACGGUACUGACGCUGAGACGCGAAAGCGUGGGGAGCGAACAGG